AUUCCAGCUCCAAUAGCGUAUAUUAAAGUUGUUGCAGUUAAAAAGCUCGUAGUUGGAUUUCUGGCGGGAGCGAUCGGUCCUUCACUCAGUGUUGGAACCUGAUUGUCUCCUGCCAUCCAUGGAGAAAACUUAUCUGGCAUUAAGUUGUCGGGUAGGCAAUCUCCAUCUUUUACUGUGAAAAAAUUAGAGUGUUCAAAGCAGGCUUAUGCCGUUGAAUAUAUUAGCAUGGAAUAAUAAGAUAGGACUAUGGUACUAUUUUGUUGGUUUGUGCACCAUGGUAAUGAUUAAUAGGGACAGUUGGGGGUAUUCGUAUUUAAUUAUCAGAGGUGAAAUUCUUGGAUUUAUGAAAGACGAACUUCUGCGAAAGCAUUUACCAAAGAUGUUUUCAUCG
RNAcentral lists this ribosomal RNA (391 nucleotides) under Rhizosolenia sp. RNAcentral describes it as "partial small subunit ribosomal RNA". It matches the Rfam family "Eukaryotic small subunit ribosomal RNA", at positions 582 to 975 of the family's 1831-position model. The record is from RNAcentral. Lineage: Eukaryota; Bacillariophyta; Coscinodiscophyceae; Rhizosoleniales; Rhizosoleniaceae.